UACGUAGGGUCCGAGCGUUGUCCGGAUUUAUUGGGCGUAAAGAGCUCGUAGGCGGCUCAGUAAGUCAGAUGUGAAAACUCAGGGCUCAACCCGGAGACGCCAUCUGAUACUGCUGUGGCUUGAGUCUGGUAGGGGAUCACGGAAUUCCUGGUGUAGCGGUGAAAUGCGCAGAUAUCAGGAGGAACACCGAUGGCGAAGGCAGUGAUCUGGGCCAGUACUGACGCUGAGGAGCGAAGGCGUGGGUAGCAAACAGG
RNAcentral lists this ribosomal RNA (254 nucleotides) under uncultured bacterium. RNAcentral describes it as "partial 16S ribosomal RNA". It matches the Rfam family "Bacterial small subunit ribosomal RNA", at positions 524 to 776 of the family's 1533-position model. The record is from RNAcentral.